UACGGAAGGGGGCUAGCGUUGCUCGGAAUCACUGGGCGUAAAGGGUGCGUAGGCGGGUCUUUAAGGUCAGGGGUGAAAUCCUGGAGCUCAACUCCAGAACUGCCUUUGAUACUGAAGAUCUUGAGUUCGGGAGAGGUGAGUGGAACUGCGAGUGUAGAGGUGAAAUUCGUAGAUAUUCGCAAGAACACCAGUGGCGAAGGCGGCUCACUGGCCCGAUACUGACGCUGAUGCACGAAAGCGUGGGGAGCAAACAGG
RNAcentral lists this ribosomal RNA (255 nucleotides) under uncultured bacterium. RNAcentral's name for it is "partial 16S ribosomal RNA". It matches the Rfam family "Bacterial small subunit ribosomal RNA", at positions 524 to 776 of the family's 1533-position model. The record is from RNAcentral.